This 429-nucleotide ribosomal RNA is filed under the name uncultured bacterium. RNAcentral's name for it is "bacterial SSU rRNA". It matches the Rfam family "Bacterial small subunit ribosomal RNA", at positions 355 to 776 of the family's 1533-position model. The record is from RNAcentral.
UGGGGAAUUUUGGACAAUGGGGGAAACCCUGAUCCAGCCAUCCCGCGUGUGCGAUGAAGGCCUUCGGGUUGUAAAGCACUUUUGGCAGGAAAGAAACGUCAUGGGUUAAUACCCUGUGAAACUGACGGUACCUGCAGAAUAAGCACCGGCUAACUACGUGCCAGCAGCCGCGGUAAUACGUAGGGUGCAAGCGUUAAUCGGAAUUACUGGGCGUAAAGCGUGCGCAGGCGGUUCGGAAAGAAAGAUGUGAAAUCCCAGGGCUUAACCUUGGAACUGCAUUUUUAACUACCGAGCUAGAGUGUGUCAGAGGGAGGUGGAAUUCCGCGUGUAGCAGUGAAAUGCGUAGAUAUGCGGAGGAACACCGAUGGCGAAGGCAGCCUCCUGGGAUAACACUGACGCUCAUGCACGAAAGCGUGGGGAGCAAACAGG